This 79-nucleotide transfer RNA is filed under the name Natronobacterium texcoconense. RNAcentral describes it as "tRNA_Glu_CTC". The record is from RNAcentral. Lineage: Archaea; Methanobacteriati; Methanobacteriota; Halobacteria; Halobacteriales; Natrialbaceae.
GCUCAACGGUGGACAUAUCACCGGCGAAGAGAGUCGCCCUCUCGAGGCAAUGACCGGGGUUCAAAUCCCCGUCGGAGCA